Molecule: ribosomal RNA, 336 nt
Filed under: Triticum aestivum (bread wheat)
Lineage: Eukaryota; Viridiplantae; Streptophyta; Magnoliopsida; Poales; Poaceae
Description: partial small subunit ribosomal RNA
Source: RNAcentral
AUGGAGAGAACUACACCAAAAAAAUUGAAGGAGACGUACGGGCCUGACGCUGAUCCUCACGUGCUACCGUUUGACCCUCUUGUGGCCAUUGCCGCGGCAGUCGGUAGACCGAAUGGCCGGAUGGCGGUUCACCUUGAUUCUGUCAUAACCUCCUCCCUUCCGAGAGUCAACACGCUCCGUGCUAUGAGUACUAGCUCUACUCCUACCGUAGAGCGUCACUUACCACAUUCCGUGAGCAUUAUUGAGGAUAUUCAGGUCAGUGCUUCUUCAUUGAUCCUUCAUGGUCCUGCAUAUUUGCAUUUCAACAUGAAUGACAUUUGCAUUGCCAUAUUGUAG